UCUUAUCAUUCUCGAACAUGUACAUAGCAAACUUAUUCAACUUCGCCAUGUUCUCCUUAUACGUCACGUUCUUCGAAGCGCGCUCGUUAUUGAUAUCUGCCAGGAAAUUGCUAUAGGCACGAUACUGCUCCAUGUCUGCAGGAUCCCGAUAGUACUGCGCAGGUACGAAUCUGGACUGGACAAAUCUAGACCACGUACCCCAUCGUAGCAGCGACUCCCCAGCUCUACACAGCCAAUCACCAGUGGUGCUGCAGCCCUGGAAGCUUGAGAUACCAUUAUGUUGACUGCCGAAGGUAACGAGGUUGUGGACAGGUGGGAAGUUGCAGCGCUCGACAUAUGCACGAAGGAACUGGCCGCCCUGCGAGAAGCCCAAAGCAUUGAUGGAGGGAGCGGUACUGAGGAUCUGCUCCGUACCUAGCUUUUUGCAAACUUCUUCUAACUGCUCGUUGAGGUUGCCGAAAUAGCUGGCCCGGAGGUCUGUUGCGCGUGAACUGCCAAGGGAGAUGACGUAGACGUAGGUUCCUGGGUGGACCAGCUGGGCAAGGUUGGAGAUAUUCUGGAUGCUGCUGCUCCCGUAGUCAUCGCCUAGUCCAUGCCAUAUAACUAGGGGAAUCGGGCGCUUCCUGAGGAUGUUUUGUUCUGGUUGGGGUUUCGAGACGGCGGAGGCAUGUAUUGCCAGUUGGGAGAGGAUUAGGGCUAAUGAUACGGGGAAACGCAUCCCUGAGAGGAGUUCGGUAUAUAAAUAUAUGUGUGUUAAACUGCCGACAGUCUAGGAGUUCGGUAGCGUACGAUUAUAUAGGAUAUAGGGAUUGAUGUGCAAAAGGUGGAGGUUGGAUGAGGUUUGAAGCUGGUCAAGCGUUGCAAAAUACGGAGGCCGAGCUUGCUUAUUAGUGGGGAAGGCGUGCGCCACCACCGGCAACCACGACGACAACGCAAGCAAAUUAUUCCCCAACCAUGGAUAGAUUGCACGCCUGAGUGUCAUCGCAUGGUUUAACUGUGCUUUUUUUAACUACUACUUGUAUGUUUAGCUAAAAAUAAGUUGCGG
RNAcentral lists this small RNA (1045 nucleotides) under Histoplasma capsulatum var. duboisii H88. RNAcentral describes it as "Histoplasma capsulatum H88 hypothetical RNA". Lineage: Eukaryota; Fungi; Ascomycota; Eurotiomycetes; Onygenales; Ajellomycetaceae. The record is from RNAcentral.